GGCCUAUCGUUCGUUCCGAUAUAAAAGGAUUUUGUAUGAUCCUUAAAGUCAUCCAUAAAAUCGAUUGAUCAAGAAAACGUUGACGUAUAGGAGAAUCAACCUAACUAAUCGCGGGAACUAGAAGAAGACUCUUCGCAUUUGAAUGCGUCUUGAUAUUGCUUUCUUUAUUACUUGCAUACCAAACAUAACUCUCUCCAUACCCUAGGCUA
Arabidopsis thaliana (thale cress) is the source of this 209-nucleotide long non-coding RNA. RefSeq annotates it as other RNA. The record is from RefSeq. Lineage: Eukaryota; Viridiplantae; Streptophyta; Magnoliopsida; Brassicales; Brassicaceae. The transcript has a single exon.